UACGUAGGUGGCGAGCGUUAUCCGGAUUUAUUGGGUUUAAAGGGUGCGCAGGCGGGAGAUUAAGUCGGCGGUGAAAUUUUGCAGCUCAACUGUAAAAGUGCCUUCGAAACUGGUUUCCUUGAGUGUAGAUGAAGUAGGCGGAAUUCGUGGUGUAGCGGUGAAAUGCAUAGAUAUCACGAGGAACUCCGAUUGCGAAGGCAGCUUACUAAGCUACUACUGACGCUCAGGCACGAAGGCGUGGGGAUCAAACAGGAUUAGAUACCCUGGUA
Molecule: ribosomal RNA, 269 nt
Filed under: uncultured prokaryote
Description: partial 16S ribosomal RNA
Rfam family: Bacterial small subunit ribosomal RNA
Source: RNAcentral